Molecule: ribosomal RNA, 492 nt
Filed under: uncultured bacterium
Lineage: Bacteria
Description: partial 16S ribosomal RNA
Rfam family: Bacterial small subunit ribosomal RNA
Source: RNAcentral
AGUGAACGCUGGCGGUAGGCCUAACACAUGCAAGUCGAACGGCAGCACAGUAAGAGCUUGCUCUUACGGGUGGCGAGUGGCGGACGGGUGAGGAAUACAUCGGAAUCUACUUUUUCGUGGGGGAUAACGUAGGGAAACUUACGCUAAUACCGCAUACGACCUACGGGUGAAAGCAGGGGAUCUUCGGACCUUGCGCGAUUGAAUGAGCCGAUGUUGGAUUAGCUAGUUGGCGGGGUAAAGGCCCACCAAGGCGACGAUCCGUAGCUGGUCUGAGAGGAUGAUCGGCCACACUGGAACUGAGACACGGUCCAGACUCCUACGGGAGGCAGCAGUGGGGAAUAUUGGACAAUGGGCGCAAGCCUGAUCCAGCCAUACCGCGUGGGUGAAGAAGGCCUUCGGGUUGUAAAGCCCUUUUGUUGGGAAAGAAAAGCAGCAGGUUAAUACCCCGCUGUUCUGACGGUACCCAAAGAAUAAGCACCGGCUAACUUCGUG